AUUUAUUUAAAACUUUUGCUAAAAAUUGAAGGUGAAAUUUAGAAUUUUAUGGCAUUAGGUGUAUAAGUAUAAAUUGUUAGAAGCUAUAAAGAUUAAGCGUUAGACUAGGAUUAGAUACCCUAUUAUUCUUUAUUAAAAUAUUAGUCGCUUGAGUAGUAAUCAGUUAUGGUCUUGAAACUUAAAGGAUUUGGCGGUACUCAAGUCUAGUUAGAGGAACCUGCUCUUUAAACGAUAUGCCACGAAUUAUCUUACUUUUAUUUGUAUUCAGUAUGUAUACCUCCAUUAUUAAAUAAUAUUAAUAAAUAAAUAUUGCAAUAAAAUAUUUUUAGUAUAUUAGGUCAAGGUGCAGCCUAUAUAAAAGCUUCGGGUGGGUUACAAUAUAUGUUUAUAUUCGAAUAAAAAUUAUAAUAUUUUUUUGAAGUUGGAUUUAAUUGUAUAUUUAUUUUAAUAUGUUAAAUUGAUAUUAGCUCUAGAGUAUGUACACAUCGCCCGUCGCUCUCGUUA
This 504-nucleotide ribosomal RNA is filed under the name Pontoniopsis comanthi. RNAcentral's name for it is "partial small subunit ribosomal RNA". The record is from RNAcentral. Lineage: Eukaryota; Metazoa; Arthropoda; Malacostraca; Decapoda; Palaemonidae.